This 548-nucleotide long non-coding RNA is filed under the name Setaria italica (foxtail millet). RNAcentral describes it as "long non-coding RNA (SITA_LNC002483)". Lineage: Eukaryota; Viridiplantae; Streptophyta; Magnoliopsida; Poales; Poaceae. The record is from RNAcentral.
GGGGCGUUGCUGGCUUUUAUUCAUCCAUUCAUAGCUUAUCAGCAGGCUGCUGAAGUUGAACACGUUGUAUAGCCCGUAAGAACUUAAGAAGCCAAUGACGACAGACCAGCCUGCUGGCCGUACGUAGGAUUAGCUUGAGCAGCAACCAUCGUUGCAGCAAGUUGGGUCCAUUGUACACUCCCUUUUUGCAGAGCAGCACAUGCAGUAGAUUUGAUCGGCGGCGGCGAGUACUGCAAAUGAACGAAAAAAAAAACACCGGGUAAAAAGAAAAUUACUAAUUGAAACGAUGCAUAUAUAUCUUCCUAUCUGGUAAUUAACAGAAAAAAAAAUUAUAGAGAGUGGAAGAAGAGACUGGGUGCAUGACUCCAUGUAAAGAUUCACGUACGGUUCGGGCGGAGGGCCGUCAUGAAGAUCACCGCGACCAUGACCCAGAUGAAGAGUGCAAGGAUUGUCUUCCUAUUGCCACCCAUGUCGUCUCUCGAUCGUAAUGGCACACACUAUGGUCUUGCCUACAAUAGCUUCUGAUAUCUGCACUGGUCUUCCUCUCG